ACGAGUUUGAUCAUGGCUCAGAGCGAACGCUAGCGGCGGGCUUAACACAUGCAAGUCGAACGGAGAGCUUCGGCUCUCAGCGGCGAACGGGUGAGUAACACGUAGGUCACGUACCCUUUGAUGGGGAAUAACCUAGGGAAACCUGGGCUAAUACCGCAUAUGUCCUUCGGGAUGAAAGCCUUCGGGCGUCAGAGGAUCGGCCUGCGGCCCAUUAUUUAAUCCUAGUCGGUAGGGUAACGGCUCACCAAGGCGAAGACGGGUAGCUGGUCUGAGAGGAUGAUCAGCCACACUGGAACUGAGACACGGUCCAGACUCCUACGGGAGGCAGCAGUGGGGAAUAUUGCGCAAUGGGCGAAAGCCUGACGCAGCCACGCCGCGUGAGCGAUGAAGGCCUUCGGGUCGUAAAGCUCUGUGGGGAGAGAAGAAUAAAGCCUGUGAAGAGCAGGCCUUGACGGUAUCUCCUUAGCAAGCACCGGCUAACUCCGUG
RNAcentral lists this ribosomal RNA (487 nucleotides) under uncultured bacterium. RNAcentral describes it as "bacterial SSU rRNA". It matches the Rfam family "Bacterial small subunit ribosomal RNA", at positions 1 to 507 of the family's 1533-position model. The record is from RNAcentral.